Molecule: ribosomal RNA, 497 nt
Filed under: uncultured bacterium
Lineage: Bacteria
Description: partial 16S ribosomal RNA
Rfam family: Bacterial small subunit ribosomal RNA
Source: RNAcentral
GAUGAACGCUGGCGGCGUGCCUAAUACAUGCAAGUCGAGCGAACGGACGAGAAGCUUGCUUCUCUGAUGUUAGCGGCGGACGGGUGAGUAACACGGGGAUAACCUACCUAUAAGACUGGGAUAACUUCGGGAAACCGGAGCUAAUACCGGAUGAUAUUUUGAACCGCAUGGUUCAAAAGUGAAAGACGGUCUUGCUGUCACUUAUAGCUGGAUCCGCGCUGCAUUAGCUAGUUGGUAAGGUAACGGCUUACCAAGGCAACGAUGCAUAGCCGACCUGAGAGGGUGAUCGGCCACACUGGAACUGAGACACGGUCCAGACUCCUACGGGUGGCAGCAGUAGCGAAUCUUCCGCAAUGGGCGAAAUCCUGACGGAGCAACGCCGCGUGAGUGAUGAAGGUCUUCGGAUCGUAAAACUCUGUUAUUAGGGAAGAACAUAUGUGUAAGUAACUGUGCACAUCUUGACGGUACCUAAUCAGAUAGCCACGGCUAACUACGUG